AAAGCCUAAUUAAUACCGCAUAAAGUUCACCACCCGGCUGAAUGAAAGCAGGGGACAGUUGCCUUGUGCUCUAAGAUUGGUUGAUGUCCGAUUAGUUUGUUGGAAAGGUAAAAGCUUCCCAAGGCGAUGAUCGGUAGCUGGUCUGAGAGGACGGCCAGCCACACUGGGACUGAGACACGGCCCAGACUUCUAAGGAAGGCAGCAGUGAGGAAUCUUGGACAAUGGGCGAAAGCCUGAUCCAGCAAUGCCGCGUGUGCGAUGAAGGCCCUUGGGUUGUAAAGCACUUUUGUUCGGAAAGAAAGCUGCCCAACUAACAAUUUGGCAGUGUGACUGUACCGGAAGAAUAAGCACCGGCAAACUACGUGCCAGCAGCCGCGGUAAUACGUAGGGUGCAAGCGUUAAUCAGAUUUAUUGGGCGUAAAGGGUGUGCAGGCUGUCUAUUAAGAUUGCUGUUAAAGGCUAAGGCUCAACCUUAGAAUGCGGCAGUUACUGUUAGACUAGAGUACGAUAGGGGGAGGUAGAAUUCCGCAUGUAGCAGUGAAAUGUGUAGAGAUGUGGAGGAAUACCAAAAGCGAAGGCAGCCUCCUGGUUCGUUACUGACGCUCAGACACUAAAGCAUGGGGAGCAAACAGGAUUAGAUACCCUGGUAGUCCAUGCCCUAAACGAUGUUGACUAGCUAUUGGGUAGUUUCCUUUUCAGUAGUGCAGCUAACGCGCAAGUCAACCGCCUGGGGAGUACGGCCGCAAGGUUAAAACUCAAAGGAAUUGACGGGGACCCGCACAAGCAGUGGAUGAUGUGGAUUAAUUCGAUGCAACGCGAAAAACCUUACCUACCUUUGACAUGGCUAAGAUCCUACUGAGAGGUGGGAGUGCUUGAAAGAGAAUUAGCGCACAGGUGCUGCAUGGCUGUCGUCAGCUCGUGUCGUGAGAUGUUGGGUUAAGUCCUGUAACGAGCGCAACCCCUGUCUUUAAUUGCUACUGGAUUUGGCAGUUACCUUAAAGAGACUGCCAGCGAUAAGUUGGAGGAAGGUGGGGAUGACGUCAAGUCCUCAUGGCCUUUAUGGGUGGGGCUUCACACAUCAUACAAUGGUCGGACCAAAGAGUUGCCAACUUGCGAAAGGGAGCCAAUCUCACAAAGCCGGCCUCAGUUCGGAUUGUACUCUGAAACUCGAGUGCAUGAAGUUGGAAUUGCUAGUAAUCGUGGAUCAGCAU
This 1211-nucleotide ribosomal RNA is filed under the name Candidatus Tremblayella phenacoccinincola. Its description in RNAcentral is "bacterial SSU rRNA". It matches the Rfam family "Bacterial small subunit ribosomal RNA", at positions 154 to 1355 of the family's 1533-position model. Lineage: Bacteria; Pseudomonadati; Pseudomonadota; Betaproteobacteria. The record is from RNAcentral.